This is a long non-coding RNA of Micropterus dolomieu (smallmouth bass), 3099 nucleotides long. RefSeq lists it as uncharacterized. Lineage: Eukaryota; Metazoa; Chordata; Actinopteri; Centrarchiformes; Centrarchidae. The record is from RefSeq and is a predicted model, not a curated record. The transcript has 2 exons.
CACACACACACACACACACACACGAAACUCAAAAAAAUAGCAUGUUCAUUUAUUUCAGUAAUUCAACUUAAAAGGUGAAACUGAUAUACUGUAUAUAUUGGGGGGGUCACACCAAAGACUGAUGAGAUUUUACUUCUGUUCAUUCACUUCUUCUUCACUGCAUGUUGAUCAGAGUGAGCUUUGAAGGCCAGGUCUGUCUCGGUGCAGCACACAGACCAGGACUACAGGCCAAACCAGAACAGCUCAGCAAAAAGGCGUCCAGUACACAGAGAUAACAAGAUAACAGUGUACUCUGAUUACAUGAAAGCAUUCACCACCGUAGCACAGUACUCUGUGUGUACACAUAAAAGUAGUAAAGCUAUGUUUCCACCUGCUUUCUCCAUAGUCGUUACAAUCUCUUGAACUCAUGGUGAAUUGUUAUGAACAAGCUAAAACAAAAGUGGUCUGUAUUAUUUAUUUAUUUAUUUAUAGUGCCAGUUCAUAACAGAAGGUAGUUCUCCAUGACCCUGUAAAUACACACCGCCACAUACCCUACGCUCGUCACUUUACCUGUGGCAGUUGGUUUGGCUAGCGAGCAGGCUGCGUCAUUAGCUAGCUAAUGCUGGUGAGGACACCAGCUGCACCUCGCUUGUCUGUCGAUGACAGAUGCUGGGUCCAAGUAUGAAGUAGCCUGCGCACUGUGGAGGUACUUUGGUAAAAAAGUCCUGGAAAUUCAUUGGUCAAAAUGUGAAUGAACCCUGACUGUAGAAAUGUGUCUCAUGUCCUUCCUCUGCUGCAGAACGACCACAGAAGGUAAAGACAAAGUUUAGGUCAGUAAAACUGUCAUUUUUCAGGGACCAAUAAUGAGUGAACAACUUCAUGUUUUUCUGCAGCAGAGGAAGGACAGUUAACCCAUUUCCACAGUAAACUCCUUGGAACAGCCUGUUAGUUCACCCUCAGAAGCUUUGAUUGGACUAUAUUAUAUAAAUUAUAUAGAAUAUUAAUGAAGGCAGACGGAGCAGCAGGUCAUCAGCUGAUCCUACAGUGAAAUAAUGAACAAAACUCCUUCAUUUAUUUCUUAAUUUUAGAUCUGAAAAUGUCUAUUUUUGGUAAACAUGUUGUUUUUAACUUUGGUACCAUUUAAGUUUCUUCACUGGACUCAACUAGUUGGACCAGCGUUCAGCAGCCUAUGGCUGGCGUGCCAGUCUAGGCACGCAGAGACAUUAUAAGCGGCACGUGAGAAGCAAACUCAGUCCUACAGUAUCGACAUCUGCCGCUACGUUGUUUAAUAUGACACUAGUGAAAAAACUGAUGAUCGACCACCAUGAGGAAUUGACAUUAUUAUUAUUGUCAAGAUAAUAGAUUAGAAAAAAUAACACCUUUAAAUCUUAGCACAGAUUAAUCGUAGUACUUUGAUCGACUGGCCGGUCAGCGUCUGUCUGUCGGACUGGGCUAAACUAAAACAUUACAUUUAGGGGGGGAUUCGAGCGGCCCCUCCCAACUUGGACCGAUCCUCGGCACAACGGCGCCGAUCUAAGGAGUUUACUUUCCAUCCCGUUUGUGUGACAAGGGCAGCAGACGAUAAAUAUGAAAGAAGAAUUUAGGCAUUCAGCCUCCUGACUGACCGGACACUCGCCACAUGUUGGCAGCUGACGCUGGGCCUUCAGGGUUCCAGCUCAGCCUGAUCUGGAUCAGCAGCGGUGACUUGUUUAUUCAAACCCAGCAGGCAGGCAUUCUCCUGAAGUUUCAACACCAGAGAAACACUUUCAGGAUUUUUUAUAAAAAUUGUCCUGUUAUUGGAUAUGAACAGUGAAAAAAAGGUUAUGAAUUUGUGGGAAAUAAAAGAUGUUCAGCUAAAUAAGUUGGUUUUUGUCAUUGAGGCACUCAUCUACCAAAAUCUAUUUAAAUUUAAAUAUUUUAAAUGCUUAUCACGAAAUCAAUGUGAUUUAUUUCAAUGAAUUAAUUACAAGUUACAAAACUUGUAAUUAAUUGGAUUCAUUUUUUAAACGCUUGACAGCCCUAAUUAUUAUGUGUUUAUUAUUAACAAUUAAACUUCAAUCAAUAGUUUAAACUAUCAGUGCAAUGACAUUAACAAACACUGCUGGCACAGUGGAUGUCUUCAUCUGUAGUUCUCAGUCAGGGGUCGGCAACCUUUUCUCUCGAGAUGCACAAACAUGUCGGCGGUCCUGUACAUAGAAAUAUAAUCUGAACUGACCCUUUUUCUCUCUGCAGAUCAUCGUGUGGGGCGACUACGGUCGCAUGGAUCAUAAAUCCUUCAUGGGCUGCGCACAGAUCCUAUUGGACGACCUGGACCUGUCCAACAUGGUGAUUGGCUGGUUUAAACUGUUUCCUGCCACCUCAUUGGUGGACCCUGCCUUGGCCCCACUGACCAAUAAGGAGACAGAGGGCAGCAAGUCUUAGCAUCAGGAGGCGUGAUCGACUGUAUCACCAUAGUAAUGGUGCGGGACGGGAGGGGCGGGAGGCAGAGGCAGGACGUGUUGUUGGCGAGCAGAGUCUAACAAAAAAGUCCCAUGAUGCUGCAUGCUGCAUGAUGACAUCUCAGCGAUGAUGAAACAGCGUCACAAUGAGGUCACCGUGAGGAAGGAGGCUCCGCCCUUGACGAUAAAACAGUAAAAUGACCCCUCAAGUGGGAGCAGGGCCACACAGCAAAGGACUCUGGGAAAAGGAGACAAGAGGCCACGUGACCUCCAGCUGCCAGCCAACCGCAGCAGUUCCUCAGGAGUCAUGUGACUGUUAGAGGCAUGUUCAGAAGCCAUAGACUGAUAGUUUCCAUGGAGACACAGGAACAUGGAAGUCUGGUUCUUUGUUUUUGCAUGGAACAUUAGAACAUAAAAAAUAUCAACUGUGAAAAAAAUAAAGAUUCUCAAUGCUCAGCGGUUCUUUAAUGUGUUCUGUAAGGUACCACUGACAUGUUCUGCUGGGAUCAGUGAUAUGAUUCUGGUUCUAUAAAGUUCUGGUUCUACAGGUAUCAUGGACAUGUUCUGGGAGAAGUGAGAAGAUUCCAGUUCUUUAAGGUUCUAAAGGAGAACAGGACAGAAGGUUUCCCUGGCUGAGACCACGUGUUGGGGCACAAUAUAAAUAAAAUGUAUUUUGACAAUA